GUACUCUCACACUUCUGAUCCUUUGGAUCGGGAGCGGUGGACUUGGGUGCUGCUGCUUUACUGUGGCUCACCUCAAAUGCAUUAGUGCAACUCUUGGUUGGACAUAGUACGGCGUGAUAAGUGUCUUCGCCGGCACCUCGCAAGAGGGUGGCUGAUCAGGGGCUCUGUGCUUUCCAACUGUCUUCAGACAACAACUGACA
RNAcentral lists this unclassified non-coding RNA (200 nucleotides) under uncultured Sebacina. RNAcentral describes it as "sequence contains ITS2". Lineage: Eukaryota; Fungi; Basidiomycota; Agaricomycetes; Sebacinales; Sebacinaceae. The record is from RNAcentral.